GUCGUGUCUUGGUUGUGAGCGAGCGAGGACUGUACGUGCGUCCUCCGAGGCUGAUCAAUGGUGAUGAAUCAGCAGUGAUGACUUUGUGAAGAAACGAGUGAAAAUAAUAAGAAAAAUAUUUAAAAAACAAACGUACAAGACACAGGGAAGAAAG
RNAcentral lists this long non-coding RNA (154 nucleotides) under Penaeus japonicus. Its description in RNAcentral is "uncharacterized LOC122245742". Lineage: Eukaryota; Metazoa; Arthropoda; Malacostraca; Decapoda; Penaeidae. The record is from RNAcentral.